GACGAACGCUGGCGGCGUGCUUAACACAUGCAAGUCGAACGAAGAGCGAUGGAAGCUUGCUUCUAUCAAUCUUAGUGGCGAACGGGUGAGUAACGCGUAAUCAACCUGCCCUUCAGAGGUGGACAACAGUUGGAAACGACUGCUAAUACCGCAUACGAUCUAAUCUCGGCAUCGAGGAUAGAUGAAAGGUGGCCUCUACAUGUAAGCUAUCACUGAAGGAGGGGAUUGCGGCUGAUUAGCUAGUUGGAGGGGUAACGGCCCAGCAAGGCGAGGAUCAGUAGCCGGUCUGAGAGGAUGAACGGCCACAUUGGGACUGAGACACGGCCCAGACUCCUACGGGAGGCAGCAGUGGGGAAUCUUCCGCAAUGGACGAAAGUCUGACGGAGCAACGCCGCGUGAGUGAUGACGGCCUUCGGGUUGUAAAGCUCUGUUAAUCGGGACGAAAGGCCUUCUUGCGAAUAGUGAGAAGGAUUGACGGUACCGGAAGAGAAAGCCACGGCUAACUACGUG
Molecule: ribosomal RNA, 510 nt
Filed under: uncultured bacterium
Lineage: Bacteria
Description: partial 16S ribosomal RNA
Rfam family: Bacterial small subunit ribosomal RNA
Source: RNAcentral